Molecule: ribosomal RNA, 468 nt
Filed under: uncultured bacterium
Lineage: Bacteria
Description: partial 16S ribosomal RNA
Rfam family: Bacterial small subunit ribosomal RNA
Source: RNAcentral
GAUGAACGCUGGCGGCGUGCUUAACACAUGCAAGUCGAACGGUGAAGGCGGAGCUUGCUCUGCUGGAUCAGUGGCGAACGGGUGAGUAACACGUGAGCAAUCUGCCCCUGACUCUGGGAUAAGCGCUGGAAACGGCGUCUAAUACUGGAUACGAGCUGCGAAGGCAUCUUCAGCAGCUGGAAAGAACUUCGGUCAGGGAUGAGCUCGCGGCCUAUCAGCUUGUUGGUGAGGUAACGGCUCACCAAGGCGUCGACGGGUAGCCGGCCUGAGAGGGUGACCGGCCACACUGGGACUGAGACACGGCCCAGACUCCUACGGGAGGCAGCAGUGGGGAAUAUUGCACAAUGGGCGAAAGCCUGAUGCAGCAACGCCGCGUGAGGGACGGCGGCCUUCGGGUUGUAAACCUCUUUUAGCAGGGAAGAAGCGAAAGUGACGGUACCUGCAGAAAAAGCGCCGGCUAACUACGUG